Molecule: long non-coding RNA, 2064 nt
Organism: Gadus chalcogrammus (walleye pollock)
Lineage: Eukaryota; Metazoa; Chordata; Actinopteri; Gadiformes; Gadidae
Exons: 3
Source: RefSeq, a predicted model, not a curated record
AAGGUGCCGUUUUAACUCUGUGCCCCCCCCCACCCCAACUGGCUCUGGUUUGCCCACUGACAGCAGAAGCUGGUGAGCUGACACAUCUACUGGGAACGGACCAGCUUCAGGCUGUGGUGCCAAUCCUCCAGACAGACGAGCAAGAGUUGUCUGUGCGAGCAAGCAAGAGAGCCGACACAGGAGGAUAAAAGCUGAUCUCUCUCUUAAUGGUCAGCAGGAGUCCCAGGAGAGCUCUGAGUCCAGGAUGAAAGAUGAGCUCAGAGUCGCAGGUAAAUGAGUCGUGAUCUCGCGGAGGGAACUACAGACGAUCCUAUUGGUUGUUGGAAGGGGCCUGUAACAGAGGUGUAACUGGCAAACCAUGCAACGCAAUCACCUACAUACAGAUGUGUGUGUGCUCGUACACGCAGGAGAGCUGCGCGUCGCCCAACCUCAGGGAUUUAUGUCCGGAGAACGGAGAGUUUUGAAUGCACGCCUCCUGCACCUCCUGGUUCUGAUUAUUCAGCACACAUCACUCUGACACACACACACACACACACACACACACACACACACACACACACAUACACAUACACAUACACAUACACACACACACACACACACACACACACACAGAGUUUAAAAGUAGUAUAAAGUAUAAAUAAUCACAGAACUGUAGUCAGGUGAUGGUAGUAAUCCUGAAGUUCUAGUGACCUCACCAUUGACCUGUGAAGCUGUCGGCACAACUCAGCAUCCUCAAACCUGGAUCCCUUUAAGGGGAGCCAUGGCGAUUAGAUGGGGAGGAAAGUGACUAACAAACUGCAUCUUUAUUAGGUGGAUAAUAUAAGUGGGAAACAGCAGUUUGGGUGACUAACUCAUUUUAAUUUCACGAUGUCCUGAAGGCGCACGGGCAAAGACCGGAUUAAAGCGUUUUGUAGUAUUUCUGUAACUAGUUGUAUUCUGUCUUUGGUUACCACUUUAAUAAACGUUAACAUUACUUAUCGUGGUAAAACACGCUGUUAAAAACAAACCAAUUUGCUUUGAAACACAGUAUCUGUCGUGGUUUCCUGGAAUUAUAAUCAGGCACAGUACAAAUACACCAAAUGUACGCUAUUGAAACACAGCACAUGAGUAAAAGUACUCUUCUGCGGACCCCCCGCUGUGAUCCCCGCGGCAACGCCGAGAAAAGAGAAUAAGGAAGAGAGGGAAGCAUUGAAGUGUUCCUGGGAGGAUACUCCACCCUGGGCGGGGAGACGGAGCCACCAGGGCGGAGAGGCUAACGGGUACAGGCUCAUGAAUUACGGAGGAUGCUCCUCGCUUUGUGCACUUCAAAGACAACGGCAAGCUAAGGAGAAGCGAAAAAGGAAGUUUGGAACCAUCCUGGGGCGUCAUGGCGACCGGUGGGUCGGACCGGGCCGGCCGGUCGCCCGGCUCAGGACCUCACAAACACUAAGUUUAAGGGAGGCACAAACACUUCGUUUGAGGGAAGCACAAACACUAAUUUUAAGGGCGUCACAAACACCCAGUUUAAGGAAACUCCCAUUUUAAGAGCUUCAAACAUCCCAUUUAAGGGCAUCACAAAUACCCAGUUUAAGGGUACUGGUUUUUAUUCAACCUUACUUGUUGACAGUUCUCCUUCGUCUUUUGAGCAGAAUAUCAGCGACUCCAGAUGAAGAGGGCGUGUCUGGAUUUAGAGGAUGUUCUGACAGGCGCACCAGAAGAGCCGCUAGUUUGUUGCUCUCUAGAAAGGGGGGAGUGAUGACGUGUCAGAUCGAUGACGCGUCAGAGGCGCUCAGUGCCAAACGCGCGAGGUACAGAUCUGCGACCAGACCGUAGAAUAGAUCCGCUUUCAGUGACGUCUCCGCCACAGCACGGAGGGACGAACGCGCGGGGAGAACGAGACAUGAUGUGAAAAAUAAGCCGACAUAAUGUGAGUGAAAGGGCAGGACGCGGCCUGGUUAAACCCCGUCAGAUGUGCGCGAUGCGGUGUUAGCUCAGCGGUCCCGUGGAGGUGGUGACCCAGAACCGCCAUAUGCUCCGAUGGCACGACCUACCUAGGGCGUUGGGCCCCCGCCAGCCGCACGGCUU